CGAAUGAAUGACAUGAAAAAGUAAAAAUAGGGGGCAUUUAAAAAAAAGCAACCCAUCUCUCUCUCUCAUUCUCUAUUUCGAUCAGCAGGACUUUUUUUUUUUUUUCUUCUGCAUGUUUUUUGUUGUUAUGUUUUUCUUCAUGCACCUCGCUGAGAGAAUUUCACAAAGACU
This 171-nucleotide non-coding RNA is filed under the name Platyophrya macrostoma. The record is from RNAcentral. Lineage: Eukaryota; Ciliophora; Colpodea; Cyrtolophosidida; Platyophryidae.